GGCGGCUCGCAUCCACUAUACAUCCAUAAACCCGUGUGCACUGUUCUAAGGAGUAAGAAAGAAGGGAGGGAGAGUAGCAUGUGCUUUGCAUAUAACUCUCUCUCGCUCUCUUUCUCUCUCCGGUUAAUUACAAACUCGUAUGGAUUUGUAUGAACGUGAGACAUAUCGUUGGACCGUCACUGGCCAACAAAUAUAACACAACUUUCGACAACGGAUCUCUUGGUUCUCCCAUCGAUGAAGAACGCAGCGAAACGCGAUAGGUAAUGUGAAUUGCAGAAUUCCGUGAAUCAUCGAAUCUUUGAACGCACCUUGCGCUCUAUGGUAUUCCGUAGAGCAUGCCUGUUUGAGUGCCGUGAAUUCUCCCAUCCCAAGCGGUUUUUAUCAAAGAAUUGCUAGGCGAAGGGGUUGAGAUGGGCGUUGUUAUAACUGCUUUUCUUCUCUAGGAAAGCUCGCCCGAAAAACAGCUAACGCCU
This 473-nucleotide unclassified non-coding RNA is filed under the name fungal sp. ssaru-1. Its description in RNAcentral is "partial contains 18S rRNA, ITS1, 5.8S rRNA, ITS2 and 28S rRNA". The stretch from base 200 to 353 matches the Rfam family "5.8S ribosomal RNA". Lineage: Eukaryota; Fungi. The record is from RNAcentral.